RNAcentral lists this ribosomal RNA (254 nucleotides) under uncultured bacterium. RNAcentral's name for it is "partial 16S ribosomal RNA". It matches the Rfam family "Bacterial small subunit ribosomal RNA", at positions 524 to 776 of the family's 1533-position model. The record is from RNAcentral.
UACGUAGGGUCCAAGCGUUAUCCGGAUUUAUUGGGCGUAAAGAGCUCGUAGGCGGUUUCGUAAGUCGGAUGUGAAAACUCAGGGCUCAACCCGGAGACGCCAUCCGAUACUGCGAUGACUUGAGUCUGGUAGGGGAACACGGAAUUCCUGGUGUAGCGGUGAAAUGCGCAGAUAUCAGGAGGAACACCGAUGGCGAAGGCAGUGUUCUGGGCCAGUACUGACGCUGAGGAGCGAAAGCGUGGGGAGCAAACAGG